This is a long non-coding RNA of Microplitis mediator, 960 nucleotides long. RefSeq lists it as uncharacterized. The transcript has 2 exons. Lineage: Eukaryota; Metazoa; Arthropoda; Insecta; Hymenoptera; Braconidae. The record is from RefSeq and is a predicted model, not a curated record.
AAAAAAAUUCGACGAAAAAUUCCAAUAUUACUAUCGUAAUCCUGGACUAUACUUUUAUUAUCUGUAACAUUCAAAUAUAUGAUACGAAAAUUUACAGUUUUUAAAAGAUUUUUUACUAUUCACUAUCGUAAUUUCAUUAAGAGUUUAUUGUAAUCAAUUCAAUAAGAAAUAUUACAAUGUUACUAUCGUAAAUAGUAAAAGAAUAAAAAAUAAGAUUUAAUUAUACUAUUUAUUCUUUUAUUCUUCCUUUUAAUUUACAGUGCUGCCUCUAUGUUUUUACAAUACAAGCUACAAAAAUUACGAUAGUUGGAUUGUAAAUUUUCUGAAAUGGUAUAGUAUAUGCCAUCUGAAGCGUUUACGUAUGAAAGACAAGUGUUGUCACAAACCAUGAUGUGAUGCUUGUAUGAGUGUAUAUAUAUAUAUAUAAAUACAAAUGAUGACAUCUACUUUGUCUGUAUUAUUUGUGGUUCAACUAUAUAUAUUUAUAAAUCAGUUCAUCUUUAUCCACAGUGUAGUGCAGAAAUAGAGGUUAUUAUUCAUGACGUUUUUCGGACAAUUGUAAAUAAGAAAUUUAAAAUAAAAACUGUACUUUCGUCAUUACAAACCUACAUAGAUUGUGGAAUAUAAUAAUUUGGUGGUGAUAAUCUUCAUUUGUCGACAAUGAAUAAUUUUACCCGGCUUUGCGAGAGGUAAAACAUUUCAAUAACCUCAAAUUAUGGACAUUCAACAUUUCUUUAUGAUACUGAAGUUAGCAGACGCCUAAUAAUUUUUGGAUUUUUUUAAAAAUGAUAAAUUAUAGAAAAAAAGUAUUCGAAAAAAUUGCACCUAUGGUUUUUUUAAUUUUCUACAUGUGCGUAUUUUGAAUACAAAUAAAUGAGUUAUUUAUUCAUAAAUUUUAUAUAUACCAAAAAAAUAUGUUUGAAAAAAUAUUAAAUAAAUGUUUUAUUAUUACUACUUCAA